CCAAAUAUUAUUAGGUCUAGUUUGGCAACUAGACUCAAUGCUAUUAGGUCUAGUUUUUCUGCUAGACCCAAUGUUAUUGGGUC
This is a non-coding RNA of Populus trichocarpa (black cottonwood), 83 nucleotides long. The record is from Rfam. Lineage: Eukaryota; Viridiplantae; Streptophyta; Magnoliopsida; Malpighiales; Salicaceae.